GAGAAAAUGUCUGGAAAAUCUCAAAGCCAUGUCAGACGCUGACUGGAUUUCACGUUUGAAAAAGUUUGCCAGCACAGGAGUUUGGCCAUCAAAUGAGGGAAACAGGCCAGCUCCUCGACAAAAAAAGUGGCAUGAGAUUUAUCAAAGGAUUGAGAAAUGCCCAUUGCAAUCUCGUGGGCAGAGGACUUUGCUUGGAGGUGUGCUGAAAUGCACAUAUGGUUUUCACACUCAAAAGCAGAGUACUGCUUCUGCUGCUCCAGCACAAACGGUGCAACAACCUGCCCCUACUGUACCUGCUCAGGAGGUGAUGGAGACGAGACAACUUGAGGCCCAGCCCCAGCCCCCGUCUACUCCAUCAGUGGCAUCAAAGAUUUCACCGCAAUUGUCAAUGGUACAUUUUUUAAAAAGUCAAAAGAAAUGACAAUUUCAGUGUUUCAAGUGUUCAAGGUGUUCAAAGUUCAGUUCAAAGUUCAAACAUAGGAGAGAAAAGAACAAAAAGCAAUAAAAAAGUUGAGGUGUUGCUAGAGACCUGCUUCUUUUCACACCUCUUGCACAGUGGGGGAUAGUUUCUAAUUGCUUGAAAUGUAAUGUGAUAUACACUAAUGUUCAAAAAAUUAUUAUUGUUAAAAUAUAAAAGCUUAAUAUUACUCAUAUUUUGCAAGAAUUCUAUUGUGUUUGAUUUGCUCAUAAAUUAAGUAGAUUUUAUUUGAUUUGAAUUGUUUGAAUAAAUUAUUCUUUAUUUAUUUAAUUUGCCUAUAUUAUUAUUUCACAUUAUUCCAGUUUUUACUAAAUAUUUGAUCAAAUAAAUGUAGCCUUGAUAAACAUAAUUAAAACAUAAAAAAAAAUACAUUGAGCAGAUCGCAAACCUUUGAACAGUAGUGUACAUUUUGCCAUUGUGAACACAGUGUUUUUAAUGAAAUGCUUUUUGUCUUGCCCUUUUUGA
This is a non-coding RNA of Danio rerio (zebrafish), 943 nucleotides long. NCBI's taxonomy places the organism in Eukaryota, Metazoa, Chordata, Actinopteri, Cypriniformes, Danionidae. The record is from Ensembl.